Molecule: ribosomal RNA, 253 nt
Filed under: uncultured bacterium
Lineage: Bacteria
Description: partial 16S ribosomal RNA
Rfam family: Bacterial small subunit ribosomal RNA
Source: RNAcentral
UACGGGGGGGGCAAGCGUUGUUCGGAAUUACUGGGCGUAAAGGGCUCGUAGGCGGCCAACUAAGUCAGACGUGAAAUCCCUCGGCUUAACCGGGGAACUGCGUCUGAUACUGGAUGGCUUGAGUUUGGGAGAGGGAUGCGGAAUUCCAGGUGUAGCGGUGAAAUGCGUAGAUAUCUGGAGGAACACCGGUGGCGAAGGCGGCUAACUGGUCCGGUACUGACGCUGAGGUGCGAAAGCGUGGGGAGCAAACAGG